GAUGAACGCUGGCGGCGUGCCUAAUACAUGCAAGUCGAGCGAACAGACGAGGAGCUUGCUCCUCUGACGUUAGCGGCGGACGGGUGAGUAACACGUGGAUAACCUACCUAUAAGACUGGGAUAACUUCGGGAAACCGGAGCUAAUACCGGAUAAUAUAUUGAACCGCAUGGUUCAAUAGUGAAAGACGGUUUUGCUGUCACUUAUAGAUGGAUCCGCGCCGCAUUAGCUAGUUGGUAAGGUAACGGCUUACCAAGGCGACGAUGCGUAGCCGACCUGAGAGGGUGAUCGGCCACACUGGACCUGAGACACGGUCCAGACUCCUACGGGAGGCAGCAGUAGGGAAUCUUCCGCAAUGGGCGAAAGCCUGACGGAGCAACGCCGCGUGAGUGAUGAAGGUCUUCGGAUCGUAAAACUCUGUUAUUAGGGAAGAACAAAUGUGUAAGUAACUAUGCACGUCUUGACGGUACCUAAUCAGAAAGCCACGGCUAACUACGUGC
Molecule: ribosomal RNA, 498 nt
Filed under: uncultured bacterium
Lineage: Bacteria
Description: partial 16S ribosomal RNA
Rfam family: Bacterial small subunit ribosomal RNA
Source: RNAcentral